Molecule: ribosomal RNA, 252 nt
Filed under: uncultured prokaryote
Description: partial 16S ribosomal RNA
Rfam family: Bacterial small subunit ribosomal RNA
Source: RNAcentral
UACAGAGGUGGCUAGCGUUGUUCGGAAUUACUGGGCGUAAAGGGAGCGCAGGCGGCUAAAUUAGUCUGAAGUGCAAGCCCGGGGCUCAACCCCGGAAUUGCUUUGGAUACUGUUUGGCUUGAGUACGUCAGAGGUGAGCGGAAUUCCAGGUGUAGCGGUGAAAUGCGUAGAUAUCUGGAGGAACAUCGGUGGCGAAAGCGGCUCACUGGGACGACACUGACGCUGAGGCUCGAAAGCGUGGGGAGCGAACGG